CCCCGCCCCCACCGCUAGAUCCGCUGCUGCUGCCUCGGCGGGCCGACCUGCAGGAGGAGGUGGCGGCGGCGGCGGCGGCGGCCCAGUCCGAGGGAAGAUGGCGGACGGCGUGGACCACAUAGACAUUUACGCGGAUGUGGGCGAAGAGUUCAACCAGGAAGCAGAAUAUGGUGGGCAUGAUCAGAUAGAUUUGUAUGAUGAUGUCAUCUCUCCAUCUGCAAAUAAUGGCGAUGCCCCAGAAGACCGGGACUACAUGGAUACUCUUCCACCAACUGUUGGUGAUGAUGUGGGGAAGGGGGCAGCACCAAACGUUGUCUAUACUUACACUGGAAAGAGAAUUGCAUUGUAUAUUGGAAAUCUGACAUGGUGGACAACAGAUGAGGAUUUAACUGAAGCAGUUCAUUCUUUGGGAGUAAAUGAUAUUUUGGAGAUAAAAUUUUUUGAAAAUCGGGCAAAUGGACAAUCAAAGGGAUUUGCCCUUGUUGGUGUUGGAUCUGAAGCAUCUUCCAAAAAGUUAAUGGAUUUGCUGCCUAAAAGAGAGCUUCAUGGUCAAAAUCCUGUCGUGACUCCUUGCAAUAAGCAGUUCCUGAGUCAGUUUGAGAUGCAGUCCAGGAAAACUACACAAUCAGGACAGAUGUCUGGGGAAGGUAAAGCUGGUCCUCCAGGAGGCAGUUCACGUGCAGCAUUUCCACAAGGUGGUAGAGGACGGGGCCGUUUUCCAGGGGCUGUUCCCGGUGGGGACAGAUUUCCUGGGCCAGCAGGACCAGGAGGGCCACCUCCACCUUUCCCAGGAAAUUUGAUCAAGCAUCUUGUUAAAGGAACUCGGCCUUUGUUCCUGGAAACUAGGAUUCCAUGGCAUAUGGGGCACAGCAUAGAGGAAAUACCCAUUUUUGGCCUAAAAGCUGGACAGACUCCACCACGUCCACCUUUGGGCCCCCCAGGCCCACCUGGUCCACCAGGUCCCCCCCCUCCUGGUCAGGUCUUGCCACCGCCUCUGGCAGGACCUCCCAAUCGAGGGGAUCGUCCUCCACCACCAGUUCUUUUUCCUGGACAACCUUUUGGGCAACCUCCGCUGGGUCCACUUCCUCCUGGGCCUCCACCUCCAGUUCCAGGCUACGGCCCUCCUCCUGGUCCACCGCCUCCACAGCAGGGACCACCUCCACCUCCAGGCCCCUUCCCACCUCGACCACCAGGUCCACUUGGGCCUCCCCUUACACUUGCUCCUCCUCCACAUCUUCCGGGACCACCUCCAGGUGCCCCACCACCAGCUCCACAUGUGAAUCCGGCUUUUUUUCCUCCACCAACUAAUAGUGGCAUGCCAACAUCAGAUAGUCGAGGUCCCCCACCAACAGACCCAUAUGGCCGCCCUCCACCAUAUGAUAGGGGUGACUAUGGUCCUCCUGGGAGGGAAAUGGAUACUGCAAGAACACCAUUGAGUGAAGCUGAGUUUGAAGAAAUCAUGAAUAGAAAUCGGGCCAUCUCAAGUAGUGCUAUUUCAAGAGCUGUGUCUGAUGCCAGUGCUGGUGAUUAUGGGAGUGCUAUUGAAACAUUGGUAACAGCAAUUUCUUUAAUUAAACAAUCCAAAGUAUCUGCAGAUGAUCGUUGCAAAGUUCUUAUUAGUUCUUUGCAAGAUUGCCUUCAUGGAAUUGAGUCCAAGUCCUAUGGCUCUGGAUCAAGAAGACGUGAACGAUCAAGAGAAAGGGACCAUAGUAGAUCACGGGAAAAGAGUCGGCGUCAUAAAUCUCGGAGUAGAGAUCGUCAUGAUGAUUAUUACAGAGAGAGAAGCAGAGAGCGAGAGAGACACAGGGACCGGGAUCGGGACCGUGACCGGGAGCGCGACCGAGAGCGAGAAUACCGUCAUCGUUAGAAGUAAAUAUACCUACAUUUUAAGUGGUCCAAGUACUUGUUCUGAUUUAAUCUUCUGGAAACAUCUGAAAACAGUGUUUACUCAUGAAGAGUGGGAAAAGAGCACUGCGAAUCUUUUGCAUGUGACAGGUUAUUCUAUAAACACCUUUGCUCCAUAUAUUGAUGGCAUCCUAUAUAUGCAAUUACUUCACAGGCGUUUACUGAAAAUCUAGUUCAAAAAUUGUUGAUAUUUUAUUUGUAAUUGGCUUUAUCAUGUAUGUAAUUUUAAGACAGCAGUUUCUUUAAUGAUUGCACACCACAUACAUACACAGGAGAAAAGAGGUAUCUGUAAUUUUUAUGUAAUGUAAUAGUUACCACUCUUAACUGUUUAAGGACUUUUUGAAGUUAGGAAGCCCAUUUUAAUACUUUAUCUUGCAUUUUGACUAUGACCUUGAAUAUUUAUCAAAACCUUUUAUUAUAUGUUGUAUUAAAAAUUUUAAUUCUAAAUACAUUUAUCUACUAUUUUUAAAAUUACUAAAACUGAUAGAAAUUGGUAGUUUGAAUAUAAAAUUGAUGUCUCAUAUAAAUCUGAACUAAAUUUUAAAAAGAAGUUUUUUCAUUUCUAGUAAGAAUCCCUUAAGGUGGAUUCUGGUCAUAUCAUUACUUGAAAUGUCCAUUUCUCUGUCAUUUGAUAAGGUACAGAUUCUACAAGCUGUAUUACUUACUUACUUUUAGACCUUGCAGUUUAUCAACUAUCUUAUAGUUCCCAAAGAUAUAAUGGUGAAGCUUGGAUACAUUUUGAUUAAUUCAGUGUGUCCAUCGAGGAGCCUCUAAGCCAGUUCAUAUGUAGAGUUAAUUAUUAGCAGUUUUCUUAAAUGGGUCUUCAUUAAUUUAGUAAACCAACUACAUCCCCUUUGACAGUUUCAUUGUUAAUUUUAUAUACUUUGAAUUUAUAAUCCAGUCAAGAUUACACACCUAAAUGAUUUGAGUUCCAUGUCUUUCAGACAGUAACUACAAUUUCCUAGUGUGCAGUUGUUGACUUUUUUUUGCAAUAGGUGGUGUACCAUACCCCAAAUCCCAUGUUUUGUUUGUACAUUAAUCAGAAUUGAGUUGUAAUAUUGUUGUGUGCCUUCAUCCAAGCAAAAUUUUACAAAAGCCUUUCAGUGGGGGGUGAGAGGAGGUGGUGUUUUCCUGGAUUGUUGUACCUUUGCUAUGUGCCAAGCAGUAUUUAUUAUGGAAGUAGAUGUAAGAGGGUGGGGGCUGGGAUUAAGUACAUAUUCGAACGCAAACCUAUUUGCAAAUUAUUACCUUAUAAGGUCUGUUGACCUCUUUAGAAGUUUUUAAAUAUGAGUCCUUUUGAAUGUUCAUGUAUAUCUUAAAUGGAAUAAGUUCUUCAACAAUAAAGUAAACACGAGUCUUUGUAUAAGUUAGUAAUGUAACACAGUAUCAAGUGAUGGUGGGUGAAGGUCAGGGUCUGGAAACUUGGUGUUGGCAGCUGUUAAUGUCUGUCUCAUCCUAAGUUUUUUUUGUGUUUGAACUGUUGGGUAAUGUUAACUGCAUUCUCAUUUGAAAAAUGUAUUAGUUUUUCUAAAAGCAUUCCACAUCCAAGUUCAAAUAGAUAAUAAUACUUCAAUGAGAAAUAUAUAACAGUUUUGUAAAUUUCAGUAUGUAAAUGCAUUGUGCUUAAUAUUCUGUAAUUUUUGCCUCUAUUCUCAGACCACUCUGAGCAAAAUAAGAUGUAAGGUGUGUUCUUACAGAAAUAACCCUCCUGUUACAGUUACAGUUGAAUUCCUUUCUCUAGAUGGUGUUCUUCUGACUGCUUGUUUAGAAUAGCCUUGCUCAGGAGUCUGUUAACAAUUGAGUUGUGUACUGAAGAAUAAUGAAAGUGAAUUUUUUUCUAGAUGAUUUUUAUUCAGGCUUCUCUUUCUAAUUUAUGAGAUUUACAUGUUCUCAAAUGAUUACAUUUCUUUACUAAGUACUAUGUUUGGAGUUUGCAUUAAGUAACUGUAAGAGUAUGGGCAUGUGAUUACUUUUGGCAUAAAUGUCAUGAACUUGAAUUUAAUUACUCUAGGAUACUUUGUGUUGCUUAUUUGAUUAUUAUAGCUUUGUGUUAACUUGGGAAAGACCAAAGAAAACAUUUCUUUUAUACUAAGAUGUUUCAUCUUCUUAGGAGUGUUACGUUGAGGCUUUUGUGAAAAUUCUUUUCAUUACUUGGUAAAUAAUAACUGACUGUUAACAAGAUUUUAAAAUUAUUUCUACAACUCUUGGGUCAUUUGUUACCUGCCUAGCAUUCCCAGCCUUGUUUCCCAUAUAUCUCAAUUGCUGUGCUUUUUUGUCUUGCUGUGCUGGCUCUCGUUUCUUCUCUGAUUUACACAGUGUCUUACUUAGAGUGACAAGAGAGGGUAGGAAGUGAUCCCUUGGAUGUAUGUAUAGUGUGUUUUGCUCACUGUGGUUUAAGAAUAUAGUUUUAUUUAUAAAAAAUUGAUGUUUCUGUCUUAAAGAAAUUGAAUGCCAAUGUGAGUCACCUUGCUCUCACCUUCAUCUCAGUGUGAACUUUCCUACCAUUGUUUAGUUUGUAUAUUGGAUUGUUUUGAAUAAGUAUUUUUAUUUGUUUUAAAUGAAUAUCCAGUUAGAAUUGUUUAGAGGAAACCUACUAACCAGUUAAGAAAAGUGCCAUUCAUGUUAUCCAGAUGAACAUUUUCUGUGGUUAGCAGGUUCUAACUCUUGACAGUGGGUGAAUUUUAAAUAACAGCUCCUUUUGAAAUGUCCACAUCUUUUGAGUGACUCUUUGACACAAAGCCUUUUUCUGUUCUUUUUUUUUUCUUUUUGCAAUGUAGCUUGUUUCUACCAUGUAGUCAAUUGCAUAGAGCACCUAAUUGUGUAUUCUGUAGAGUAAUAAAAUACUUUGGUUGAAAUGGGGUAAGUAUGAUAGGAGAAAAAUAGGAAAAUAUAAACUUUCUGGUAGCUAGAAACUUUUUUGAACACCAUCAAUAAACAGAAUUAUUUUUUUAUGUACCAUGUUCUAGUCAAUAUGAGAAGAAACUUAAGAGUUAAUAUAAGUUUAGAUGUUUCUGCUACCUGCCUCAUCUCCCGUUUUCUCAUUAAGGAGACCUUCAAAUAUAGAAGGUUAAAAAUUUACUCAUUUCAAAGCAUUGCAUUUCUAAAAUUAUGUGAGGGUCCUUUCUAAUUCAGCCCAUUAAUAUGAAAAGCUGGGAGCUGCGUGUAGCAGUGACACCUGUGACCUCUGCCCCUAGAGAGACUGAUGCAGGAGGGUCCUGUGAACUCUAGGCCAGGCUGGGUUACUACACAUGGAGCUGCAGCUAGUCAGGCCUUUCUCUAUACUAAGGUCCUGUUUCAGAAAUUAAGGCAAACACACAAUAUAAAAAUUCUUAUGAGAAUCCUAUCAAAUAAAUACUCAAAUGCUUUACUUAAAAACAUGAAUUUUCCAUGAGUUUUAAAAUACAAGUUGGCAUAUAACACUCAAUUUGAGUUGUUAAUAAUGGUUUGGUAGUACAUUAUCUCAAAAUGUAGGUAUUUCGCUCUGUAUUAAAAUUAUACUGCUUGCUUUAGCUUGCAGAUUUUAAAGCUGUAGUUUCAUUGUCUUAAUUCAUUUAACAGCUGUUUACAUAGAUUCCUUUAUAACUGACAGUUAAAGCAAGUAAUUGUGUGGCUUUGACAUUAGACAUUUGGUCAGAUACUAUUUUGAACAUAUGGGCAUUGAAUGUAUUUGUCACUUUUAAGGUUUUUGAUAUCUUUGUUUAUGUAGAUGUCUGCUUAGACAUCUGAGACUAUAAUAUGGAAUUGGAUUAUUGGAAUGGUUUGUAUUGCCUUCAAAUUUUGCUUCCGUUUGAGAUUGUAAAAUUUGUGUUUAUAUGUAAAGUGUUUAGAACUAGAAAUAAAAAUUUCUAGACUAUUCCCUAAAUUUAUGUCUGUAUGGUGAAAAUUUAAAUUUUAUUAAUCAGUAAAGACCUUUCUAUACACAAUGUAGCAAGAGAUGAGUUCAUUAGUCAUAAAGAAAUGUGUUGUGACCGCACAAACAAGAUUUCGUGUAUGAAAGUAGUGAAGUUUCCAUUAGGGUCAUUCAAUAUGUACCCCGUGGCUCUUUAAAGAUUGUGAGUUUCUUCUUCUUCUUUUUUUUUUUUCUUCCUAUUCCCACACUGUGACUUUACAUAUUUUUUCUUUCAGUGAUUCAUUCUUUAUCCUUUAUAACACAACAAAAAUAUUAGGGGAGAUAGCAUUCCUUUUUUAGUAGGGUUUGUGAAUUUCCCUGCAAUCUUGGUAUCAACUCCAGAGAACAAAUAAAAACCUACCAGAAUUGUGACCUAUAAAAUAAAACCUUUGAAAACUGACGUUACAGAUUUUUUCCUGUUAAAUAAUUCCUCCAUGUAAGCCUCAUUAGCAUAACAUGAAAGUGAAAGUACAAAAGGAAAUGCUAUAAACAGCUUAAAUGUCUUUCGAAAGCACAGAUGUAUAGAAAACAUUUAGAUGAAAAAGACCCUUUCCUUUUGUACUUUUAAGAUUUUAAGUUUUUAUUAGGAAGUAUGAAUAUGUGUAUAUAUACAGUGAUUCUUCUAAAGAGAAUCGAACACAAAAUUUGUUGUUGCCACAAAAAUUAUUUCUAAUUUUAAAGAAAAGGAUCUUUUAACAUUUUUUAUGACAGAAUGCCACUAAGCAUUGUGUGCUUUCGAGAAAUAUUAAAAUACCCUUUUAGUAUUUGUAUUUUAAGUAAUUAAUAUUUCAGUAAUAUUUUUUAAAUUAAUGUUCUUCUUUGGAUUUACACACACACUCAAAAUUAUGCACAUGUGCGCACAUUCCUGAGACUAUAGAAUCAAUUAUAUUGUUGGCUUCACUCUUCCCCCUUGAUGUAAGUUUUCAAUGAAAUUUAUCAUUGUAGGUUCCUAUUAGUUGGUGUUUGGUUAGUUGAUAUAGGUGAAAUAGAGUGAAAGUAAUGUCUCAGAAUUGUAUUAUGUCUAAAGAUUUGUAUGUGGAUGUCAUAUUUAAUGUCCAUGCUAAAGUAUUUAUAAAUUUUGUAACAUGGAACACCAUUGGUUUAUAACAAAUUGGCAGAAGUUCAUGUAUGCUGUCAAAUACAGUUAAUUUGUAAAUUUUAUUGAUUUUAUAUUCAGUUCAGCAUUUGUUAAAUGAAUUGUGUGGAUGAAUGAAAAAAAAGUAGCUACAUUCAAAUCCAAGCAUUUUCCCAUUUAUUUUGUAGUAUGCAUAUUUUAGAAAAUGAUUUAUGGCUGUUCUCAUCAUCAUGGAAACAGUAGCUGCUGUAUUUUCAUUUGUUAUUGUAAUUGUUUUCUUUAAAAAUUGGCAUAUAUUGUACAAAAUAAUGGUCUUUGUAUGACAGUCACUGAAUUUUAAAGGCAAUAAUAUGUAAAAAGAAUGAAAUGAGAAUUUCUCAUUUUGAAUUUGUAAAUUGGGAGCAUUUCUCCACUAUGCAAGCAGCUACUGUUUGAGUUACUUUUUAUUUUGUGUUAGAAUACCUAACAGUGAGUAGAUGCACGACUUGUGUAUGUAUAGCUAAGCCAACAUUUUUCUGUGUAUUCUGGGGAAUAGCAAAAUCUACAUCACAAAUUUUGACACAUUACAGCUGAAGGAAGAGGAGGAACACCUUCCAAGACAAAACAGUCUUCAUGGGGGAAAAGUGACGCUUGUCCAGCAGUUUGCUUCUUGUGAUUGAACUGAACCUGUAAGGAUUCAUGGAUUUACUGAACAGGAAUAGAUCUGAAUAAAGCAAAUCUGCAUAAAUGGUAACCAGUAGCUCUACUUUUAUUUUUUAUGUUGCUUAAUUGUUUUAUUUGAAGGAAACGUGUGAUUUAAAAAAAGUUAAUAGCUUUUGCAACUUUAUUACUGGUUAUAUAUAUUUGGCCAUUAUAAUGUGCAAGCAAUUGGAAAAACUUCAAGUACAUGCUUGUUUUUAUAGUAGUUUGUUCUUGUUAAAAUGUUCAUAUGAUAAUGUCUGUAAACAGCACCACUUUGAUUACAAUAGAUGUAGUGUUGUAAUAAACUGUUGAAUGGGGCUGAUGUGUAAAGCUGUUCAAGUUAUUUGAUGUUUACACCUCAGGGAAAGUCUUGUGUGCAGCAAUAUCUAAAGAUAAUGUUAUUAUGACAACAUUUUUACUGUCCUUUAAAAAAAGCAUUGCAAUAGGGUGUUUGGAUAUGCAUCAAUCUAAUCUUGCGUUCAGUGAAUUAAACAUAACCAAUUAAGUGUCUCGCCCUUGAUUUUGAUAUUAGGAUAGGUAAUUACAUGGAUAUUUAAUAUUUCUAUAUUCUGCUUUUCUAGCUGUUUUUACCUAGUUAGCUUGUGAAUUUGCUGAAUGGUAUGUAAACUUGUAAAAACUGAAAUUUGGCAGAUAUAGCAAUUCAGUGAAUGUGUUAGGGGUGAAAAAUUUGAGGUUGUAACAUUUUUGGUAAAGACUCUUGUAUUUGCUACAAUAGUGCAGCUCACUUAUACCCCACAUGUGCUGAGACAGCUAACCCUGAACUGCUAGCAUUCAAGAGAGAUUUGGUAGUUCAGAUCUGACACAGUAAUUUACUGUUUCAUGCUGAUGGUGCCAUAGGCAGUGUAAAUACAGUCCAGCACAUAAUCGUAAGGAAACCCUAGUAGUCUACUGGGUAGAGAUUCUGAAGGGUGUGAUAUUUAUUAAUGUUGGGUUGUAUUCUUCAGUGUGAGUAAUGGGAGAUUAUAGUUGCACCCUGUCCUCAUGGUUCAAGAAAUUCUGUGUAUAUUCCUGUUACCCUCUUGAUUUAUGUUGGAUUAGAGUUAUUGAUCAGUUUAUUCUUUUUUUAAGCUGGCCUUAAUAAAAGGCUGUAUUAAAAGCACCGGCUAGCAUGUGUUGUGCAAAAUUAGCAGAGACAGACUGUCAACUUGAUUGCCUAUUUUUUUUUAUAGGAAGUUAAAACCCAAGUCACUAAAGAAAUUUGAGAUAAAAUCCUUAAGCUAAUUUGUUUUAAAUAUAUUUUAAAGAUCUUAUUACUCAUGAGAGAUCUUUGGAUAGUAAGGCAUUGACUUUUAAAGUUUGUCUAAAUUUAAGGGCAAUGCUAAAGGUACUCCUGUACUGAAGAUAGAGAUGAAGUGCAGCUCAAGAGGCUUGCACUGCUGUUUUUCAGGUUCGUCCUGUCUGCUCUUACCUUUGUUGAGAGUUAGUUUCAGAGUAUCCUUCCACUGCCAGUUCAUUUAAAACAUUUUGUGAGCAGAGUAUUUUUGCAAGAGAUCAUUGGUGUGUACCAGAACUGUUAGCUCUCAGAAGUGCUUUUUCUUAAGCGUUUAAUCUUGUUAAAAUGCAAGUUGCCUUUUAUUUUGAGAGUUGUAUCAAAAUCUGUUUUCUUGUUUUGUGUAUAGGUAUUGUAAGCUUUUGUCAUUUCUUAGCUUUUUUUAAUAGUUUAAUUACAAUACCCUAAUGUGAAGACGUUUGGAUAUACAUAUGUUUACAAGGGAAAUUAGGUAAUAGUAAGAUUAAAAGGUAAGUAAAAUGUCCACUAGAUAAAUUUUUCUCUGAACACUUUUAAAUGGAAUCACAAAUAUAUAUACUUGAAAUGAAACUGGAGAUUUUGUACUAAUUUUAAUCCUUCAUUACCUUUUCUCUUUUUUUAAAUCAGUGGAACCCUCUAAUUGCUUCCUUUAUGUUACCCUUCUCCUUGCUUGACUUAUUUCAUUAAGUGGCUUUGGUUGCAGAUAGUGUCAGUGUACUAGAGUUGCUUGCUGCUGCUAGCCAAUAAGUGUUGUCAGGAAGAAAUAAAACAACUUUGGUUUGACUAAUUUUGCAGUCUCCUACCUGAUAACACAUGAAUGUAUAGCAGUAAAAGUAAAAAAUUCAAACCAUGUUUUCUUUGUCAAAGCCCUUGUGUUAUUUAGGAGCCAUUGUUAUUUGAAAAUUUGUUUUUGAUGUACAAAAAACAAUCCAAAGAGAAGUCUUUGCAUAGACACUAAAUAAAUAAAUAGCAAAAAGGGAGAGAAUGAGGGAGUCUUAAAAAUGAAAAGUCAUUCAGUGGCGAUGGAAACAAGUUUGCUUGAUUUUAUUCCGAAUCCCAGCAUUGUCCAGUGCUGUGCAGUCACAUUCCUCAGCUAGCGGGAAAGUCAUAGAUGCGUGGUAAAGCAUAUGCAUGCUAUUUCUCCUGGAGCAGCACUCUGAGUUCAUUAUACUGCUUUGAUGUAAAGGAAGUAUGUUUGUAGAAACAUUAUUUCAGUGUAAAUUCAAAAAUGUUUGUAUUUUGUCAGUUUUCAGCAAGAUUUUGAGUAGCUUUCUAUAGCUAUUGAGCAUAUAUGUUACCCCAUGUAAUGGUUCCAUUACUUAGAAUAUUCUUAAGCAGUAAACUACAACUUGGAAUUCACAACAUAUAGCUUAAGAUAUUAUUUUCAUUUGGUUCUCCUAUGGAGAAUGUUGCUUUAGUUUUACAAGUUUAAAGUCAGUUCUAAAAAUAAACAUGGAGGUUUUAAUGAACAUUAGAUAACGUUUUAUAGUGAAGGAGAAUUGUUGGAAAGGUUAAUUCUCUUUCCCUGUGUUUUGAAAUGUGCCAAUAACCUAAGUACAUUCUGUUUGAUACGAGAUGCUACUUCAAGGCUCUUCUUUUGGAGUGUUCUUGAUUUACAUUCUAGUUUUGUUACCUAGGUGGUCAUUGCAUUAUCUGUAUCUUACAAGCCCCAGUGUUGCGUUUUAAGCUUCAGUUUAAUUUUUUUAAAAGCAGUUUUCGUUCUGAUUCUUUACUGAAAAUACAGUGUUGAGAUUCUUGCUGUUGCACAGAUAACUGAUUUUUAAAUUUUAUUCACGGAAGUUCAUUUGCAUCCCAUAGCCCUCUGUAAAUGAUUCCCCCAGUUGUAUGUACAUACUAAAUGCACGCUUAUCCAUUGUACAUAUUAGACAUUUUUUUGUGCUAAAAUAUUACCAAGUAGGAUUUUUGUAGCAAAGCAUUUUAUUUUUAUGUUCUUAUAGUAUUUGUGUUAACAUUAAUCUUCAGUUCGAACACUGGUGUAUUUAUUUUUUUAGCAACUUGACUCCUAGAAGCCUUAGACUAAUUUUUAAAUGAAUAUUCAACCAAAAAUUAUAAAUUUAUUGAGAUGUGGCCUUAUAUAUGGUAUUUCUUGUGUUUAUAAUGUGAUUUUUUUUAAAUUUAGAUUUUAUUUAAAUCAAGAUUUAGAAUUAGUUUCUUUUUUGAGUCAAAAUAGAAUGUAUUAAGUGUCUAGGCUUCUGGGAGGAAGUUCUUAUACUCUUCUUUCUUUGCAUUAGAAAGAAGCAAUAUGACUAUGAAUAUUCAGAAUAUUCAAGCCAUUGUGUUAUAUUCAGAUUGACUUAGGUUUGUUUUAACCCAAUGUUUCUUUAAAAGUUGCAGGUUGUUGUCAUUCACUGAAUAUACAGCUACUAUGGUUUUUGUAUGGGAUGUAUGAACUCUUGUUACAUUAUUCCCAGAUUUCAGUGUUUUCAAAACUUCCUGUUACAUUAAUUAUACUAUAGUGGGGGGACUUUGAAAGAAUUAGGUAAAAUUUAAUUGAAGUCACACAAAUCUUGAAUGGUAUCUGUGGAUAGUAAAUACUACGAGCAGUUUUUCAUGUGGGAAUACCUUAAAACUCCACCAUGGGAGUAAAUUACAUUCAUAAUUGGACAGACCAUUCAUUUUAGUAAAAAUAGUUCAUUCUGAAGGUGUAUUUUUUGUUACACUGUAACUGCAUAGCACUUCUCAGCAUUUCUGUAUGCAGAUUAUUUUAAAAUGCAGUGAUAAAUUCAUGUUUAUUUUUUUUACUUUGGAAAUUGUGGUACUCAGGUGGUAUUUAAUAGGAAAUGGCCCUUUGGAGUGGAUCAUAAUGUAUUUUGAGGACUGCAUCUAUAAUAUUUAGGACUUUAGCCUUGAAAAGUUCUAUUAUUUCUCCCCUUGUCUCCCAUGGUGUAUUAGCAAAGUAGUUUACAGCCCAGCACAGCCUUACAAAGUUGUUUUACAAUUUUUAAUGGAAAGCCCUUAGCAACAAAAAAAUUGUAUCAUAUUCCAAUAUCCGUGAAUUAUUGAAUAAUCACCCUUUGUAAAUAAGUUGUCUGAUAAUAUCAGAAGGCCAAAGAAAGUCUUGAGAUUUUAGCUAUUUAAUGUGGUGUGGUGACUUCCUAAGAGUUCUGUGCAAAAGGUAAGGUGAAAUUCUAUCAAGUAGGCAUCCUUUUGAUGCCCGUGAAAGCUAGACUUCAUAUUAGCUUUUUUCAAAAGACAUAUUCCCAUCUUAUUAAAGUGUCUAGAGUUGCAACGUUGUGUUAAUGUUUACUUUGUCUUUUCUUCCUUUAGCAUUUAGGGACUGUUCAGCAGUUUGCUAUACGGUCAUUGUUGGCCUUAAACUGCACUAGUAACAAGCAUGGUGUUUAUCUUGUAUUGAAAUAAAAAACAAAGUUUUGAUAAUA
Molecule: RNA transcript, 12221 nt
Organism: Mesocricetus auratus (golden hamster)
Lineage: Eukaryota; Metazoa; Chordata; Mammalia; Rodentia; Cricetidae
Gene: Cpsf6
Gene name: cleavage and polyadenylation specific factor 6
Exons: 12
Source: RefSeq, a predicted model, not a curated record